This 225-nucleotide ribosomal RNA is filed under the name uncultured bacterium. RNAcentral's name for it is "partial 16S ribosomal RNA". It matches the Rfam family "Bacterial small subunit ribosomal RNA", at positions 95 to 334 of the family's 1533-position model. The record is from RNAcentral.
UAGGCGCACUGGUGAGUAACACGUGGAUGAUCUGCCCUUUUGUGGGGAAUACCGCUGGGAAACCGGUGACAAUACCGCAUAAGCCCGAGAGGGGAAAGCAGAAAUGCGCAGAAGGAGGAGUCCGCGGUCGAUUAGUUAGUUGGCAGGGUAAAAGCCUACCAAGACUGUGGUCGAUAGCCGGCCUGAGAGGGCACACGGCCACACUGGCACUGAAACACGGGCCAG